Molecule: long non-coding RNA, 865 nt
Filed under: Numida meleagris (helmeted guineafowl)
Lineage: Eukaryota; Metazoa; Chordata; Aves; Galliformes; Numididae
Description: lncRNA (ENSNMEG00000023035.1)
Source: RNAcentral
GCCAGCAGCAAGGAAGUGUUUGGGGCCAACCAGGUAGCAAACACCAUCCAAACAGGUUCUUACUGACUGGGAGGCAGAGAGGAGCACACAAGCCCCAUCAUGGUGCUGGUGAUGGUGGUGAUGAUAGGCAAGGCUGGGGUUGAAAGUCCCGCACCGUGAGUCAGAGGGAUGGGGAGAAUCUGCCCCAAGCAGCUGCAGCCCUCAGACACAUGUGGGCUGAGUGUUUCUUGAUUGCAGAUAAUUCAAUUCAUGUGGGGACGAAGGGGAAAAACAAUAAGAAGAGAGUUUCAGAAAGGCCUAGGUUGUUGUGCUCUGGUCUUGUAGCUGGUGGCCUGGGAGAUGGUUUGGGUGGUAGGUGCUGGAAGCUAAGGCCACUUCUAGAAUCUCAACGACAGUGGCAGAAUACAAAUCAACCCACCCCAUGCACAGACGGCUGGGAUCCUUUGAGGCUCUUGUUUUAUGGAUGAAAUAAAUCCAGCCAAUGGGGAAUGGAAGGCUCUGAAUUAUGAGAAACGAGCUGUCAAGAUUGAAAAAGCGGUGAUUUAUUCCUUGUCGGACAGGCUGCAGAGUGGCACAGGCCCUGUCCACCCGGGUGAUGUUCCCAAUGAUGCUGUGUGAAGCCCUCGGGAGUGCACUGAUUGCUUCAGCACUGUGUCCUGCCUGCUCCGCUCCUGGGCUGUGGCAGUGCAGAAGCAGAGUGAUCGGGGCAUAGCAUCACGCUGUUGAUGUCAAUUACUGGAGAAUUACCAUUAUUUCCAGCACAGCUACAGUGUAAUCCCCACAAAUAACUAUAGAGCUGAUUCACAUAAACCCUGUUAUUGUCCUUCAGAUGUUUUCUAGGCACAAGGAGCUGUGGUUGUGGGGG